Molecule: long non-coding RNA, 3389 nt
Organism: Homalodisca vitripennis (glassy-winged sharpshooter)
Lineage: Eukaryota; Metazoa; Arthropoda; Insecta; Hemiptera; Cicadellidae
Exons: 5
Source: RefSeq, a predicted model, not a curated record
AUCUCUAUAUUAUCAUCAUUAUUUGGAUCACAUUUUAAAAUUAUUCCUUUUAAUUCAAAUAUUCUUUUAGCAAGAUUACGCAUCAAACUAAAAUGAAAUGCUGUCUUCUUAAAAAAACUAAAUUUAAAUAACAUGAAAUUAAAGCUACUGCUCUUGAUAAAAUAGAAUAAUUGAUUACAUUAAAAUUAAUUAACUCUCUAAGCUCUAUAGUGCACCUCGUGCUAAACUCAUGUUUUAGCACAUAUAUAUGUUUGAGUUAAUUUUGAGAAUUCAAAUACAACUUGCUAAAGAGUGAAUUCUUAUUAAUAUCCCAUAACUACAAAAAUUAGUGAUACAGUUCAAAUCAGAGUUCAAAUCUUAGAUAUUUUAAAGAUGAAAUUUUAAAGAUGUAUUUUAAUGAAAUAAAGCUGCAGGCUACACUUGUGUAACUUCAUGAAAUUCUUUGCAACAAGAAAACGCCUAAAUUAGGUACAAACACAUAGAUUAGCAGAUACAGCACAUUAGGAAGUAGCUGGUUUAAAUUCCCCAUCCAUAAUUAAUUUUGUCAUCACCGAGCUAAAUCGUCGGAUCAGUCGUACAAACAGUUUCGAAUUCGCAUUUCCUGAUCUGAACCAACCAAAACCUAGUAAUAGUUGGACAAAGAACCGGUACAACAAAGGCUCAACUCAGAAUCGAACUACUAUCCUCAAGUAACAUGAGCAGACCUGGCAAAGGAGUACAUUUCAAUGUCAUUACCGUCUGAUAAUCUACUUGAUACUAAAAAUUUCUUUUUUUUCUCAUAAAAUUAAAUAAAAAAUGUCGUAGAACUAAAACCAACGUACCCUAAAACGCUACAUUUACAUAAUUAAGAAAAGUAAUAUAACAAUUUAUUUUAACCAAUCCCUUAUUUUAAAUGAGUUUCUUGAGAAAAUGCUGUUAUGUAUCACUGACGCAAUCGCACCUCGUGCUCCUCUUGUACUUCGGCAGAUUUUGUAACUAGUGAUAUUACUGAAUAAUAAUGUUUCAUAUUUUAUUAAAUAUAAUUCUGCCAAAUAUUGCUUUAUCGUAAAAUGAAUUUUUCGUACUCAACAUAGGACUGAAGGUUAUAUCCACCCCAUUAUGAUGUACAUAAGUGACAUUAAAUGAAGUCCUGUGUUGAUUUUACCAGGUGGGAGCAAAGCCAAGGCAUAAAUUUAUUUUCCGCCCAAAAUAAAUAUAAGGCAUGUCAAGGACCUUGUCUGCUUCCAGGUUGGAGUUCACAACUUGGUCAUUCGGAGCCUUAGAUGCGUUCUAAACACUGCGUAAGAAACAAAAAAGGACAAAGCCAUUCACCAAUCCCUACAUAAUCAACAGAAGACACCGGCUGCCUUAGGGAAAGAGGUCAUAUUUCCUCCAGUGGAGGAGGCCACAGCCGCUACCCAAGAGGCUGCAAGCCGCUCUUCCACCGCGGUUGACUUUUAAGUAGCGGCGGAAAGAUAAGUUGCAGACAAAACAAGAUCCUAAAGCUGAAGUUUUCAACCAUCCGUCGUGCAGUCUGGAUUGGUCCCAGUGACUACCGCCUGUUCACGGUGAAGUGGCUCGCAAAUAAUCACACUGACGCAGAACUGCAUGCCUUUGCACUCGUACACCAGUGAUUCAAUUUGCAGUUUCCUGUUACCAAACUGACGAAGAGGACACUUAAAGUAUAUCAAAUACAAAACAUUACAACAUAAAAUGUUAUAAAAUUAAGAAAAAACACGAAAAAAUAUUAUUGAAAAGUAAAUCAAAAAGGAUGCCAUUGGAAUUCCAAAGCCCUUAUGUGAAAAGCCGAUGGGAAAUGUAACGAAAUCAACCAAAAAAUAAGAAUGAAUCAGCAGUCCAAACAAAGCUACACUGCUGACUGUAGGAAGACAACUAACGUAAUUCUCGACUCCUUUCUCAGAGGAACGAAGAAAAAAGAUGCAUAGUUCGUACAUUACUGGUUACUAUGUAAAAUUUCAACACUACCAAACAAUAAUGUUGUUCUACAUUGUUCCAAAACAUUCUUAAUUUGCAAUAACUAUUGUUUUUGUUUUAUGUUACUUUAAACAACUGAUAGCAAUUUUUCCUUAUUAUUAUAAUAUCAAAUAAUGUUUUAAUAGUUUAAAAGGGAUAAAUCACGAAGCGUUUUUAAAUUGAAGGCUUUGAAAUUUCUAAAUAUCAACCACAGCUAGGAUAGUAAGCCGUGGUGGUGAGUUAAAUAAAUCAAAAUGCUUCUGUUAUUGCAAGCGUGUUUACAUUUCUACAAUUGCUUUUCAAAUCAACUCUUGAUAAAUCAUACCAACUCUAUCACAAUGAAAUAGCAUACAUCUAAAUGAGUCGUGGUUUUAAUAACACUUUCAAUUAUCUUUUAAGCUGUUCCUCAAUGUUCUAAGAUCCAUUGCACUUUACCUAUCAAUAAAGGAAUCUAAUUUAAGGAGGGUAUCAAAGCCUUUAUGCAUUAAUAUAGGUUUUUUUGUGUUUCAAUAGAAAUAAUUCACAGCUGAAAUGUUUAAAAAUUAAGAAACAUUUUUCAAGUAAAUAAAAACAACAAUUAUAUUGUUUUAAUAUCAUUAAUGCUCGUAAUUUUUAAACGACAGAGAGUUAACAGGUUGAGUUAUAUCUCCAGUUUACCUUCAUUUGAUUGCAGCGCCUGAUAUCUGAACUUUAGGUCAGACUUAACUCCUGGAAUCUGUAGUCAUGGUCGUCUGAGUAGAUCCAAAGAACGUCGACGAUGAAGAAGCUCAAAAUGAUCCUUUACAUCGUUUCGACGUCAGAGACAGCUAGGUGAAGUGGCAGCCUCAUUAAGAUGUGACUCCGCCACUGGCUGAGAUGCAGCGAACACAAUCCGACGUAAGACCAUCGCGGUAUAUAAAUUACAGGCUCGUGCCGACCAUCAAUGACACUACUGAAUUUAUGACAUUUCAUGAAAUCGAGCGGCAGAUUAGCGAAAUAAAAAUGGGCCUCGCUGUAAACGACGAGGGGGCUUCAGAACCAGGAAGUCGAGACACACGUUGCAACAUGUGUCUUACGAUGAAGGCAAUCCGGAUGGCCACACCUUGUGGACACAAUGUAGUGUGCAGGCCGUGCGCCGUCUCUAUGACCGAGGAUGAAAUAUUUCAUCAGGUCACAAAUGGCGAUGGAACUAUUUUCACAACUACUCAUAUACACCUGCCACUAACAUGUCCUAUUUGUAGAGCAACUGUUGGUGCUUUUAUAAAACCAUUUUAAUUAUAUCUUUAACGUUUUAAAACAAUGUAACUGUAAAAUAUAUUGUUCUAUUAAAGGUGUCUAAAAUAAUGGUUUGUUUCUUUGCACAACUAGUUCGUAGUUAACCGUAUUACGAGUAUGUAUAUCUUAUAUUUAUUGCAGCGUUUUAAAUAUUUUUGGGCUAUCUAAUCCUAUAAUGUAUA